UGUAGAGUGUGCAUGGCAGUUAGGGGAAGUAGAGUCAUUUACUGGCAUGCUUAUUUACACACUUCGUGUUGUGUUUUUAAAAGAUUUAGAAAUGUAAGAAGAGUAGCAAAAAGGAAACUCAACAGGAGCCAAAUAAGAAAGGUUCCCCUGGCCCCCUUUCAUCCUAGAUUAAAGACUGGAUGAAUAAAGCUCAUAAAGCUAAGAACCUGGAGGGAUGCAUCAGCUGUUCACUGCAGAUGAAGAGGAACGACCAUAUUUGGAGGGCUGAGUGUGGACGACCCAGGCUGUGCCACAGGCGCUGUGGGCCGCCUGAGAAAGGAAAUUAAUUCCUCUUUGAGGGAAAAUGACUUUAACAGAUAUACCGGGGGAGGCAGGCUGAAACCUCCCCCCCACACAGUCCCUUUACAGCAGAGUCUGAAGGCAGGCGAGCAGCGCAGCAGAGAGGAAAGCCACCUUAGCUCUGAUGGCCUGUGGCGGGGGUGUUUGCUCUCAGUCCUGGUCGUCGCCUCUCGAGGGCUGUAUGAGGCAGAAUUUCCCACCGACUGAAAGUAUGCAUGUGAAAUGUUAUUCGUCAAGCUUGUCAUGCAGCACUUUUUGUAAACAUUUGAGGUAUGUGCCAGUUAAAUUCAGAUGGGAUUGAGAUUCUACAUAACAUACUGUACAUCAGUUAAUUUAAUUUAAUGUUCCUCACAGAUUUAAUUCAUCUAAUUGAAGCAUAAGUCCCUCCUGAUAGAGUUUGACGUGAUGUAAAUGCAGUUUUGAAUGUU
Long non-coding RNA from Notolabrus celidotus (New Zealand spotty), 767 nucleotides. RefSeq lists it as uncharacterized. Lineage: Eukaryota; Metazoa; Chordata; Actinopteri; Labriformes; Labridae. The transcript is spliced from 4 exons. The record is from RefSeq and is a predicted model, not a curated record.